CAGUCGCCACGGUAAUACGUAGGUGGCAAGCGUUGUCCGGAAUUAUUGGGCGUAAAGGGCUCGCAGGCGGUUUCUUAAGUCUGAUGUGGAAGCCCCCGGCUCAACCGGGGAGGGUCAUUGGAAACUGGGAAACUUGAGUGCAGAAGAGGAGAGUGGAAUUCCACGUGUAGCGGUGAAAUGCGUAGAGAUGUGGAGGAACACCAGUGGCGAAGGCGACUCUCUGGUCUGUAACUGACGCUGAGGAGCGAAAGCGUGGGGAGCGAACAGGAUUAGAUACCCCUGUAGUCCCUGUCUCUUAUAC
Molecule: ribosomal RNA, 301 nt
Filed under: uncultured bacterium
Lineage: Bacteria
Description: partial 16S ribosomal RNA
Rfam family: Bacterial small subunit ribosomal RNA
Source: RNAcentral